GAUGAACGCUGGCGGCGUGCUUAACACAUGCAAGUCGAACGAAGCUCCGGACGCUUUGGCUUCGGCCAAAGCAGAAGGAAGACUGAGUGGCGGACGGGUGAGUAACGCGUGGGUAACCUGCCCUGUACAGGGGGAUAACAGUUAGAAAUGACUGCUAAUACCGCAUAAGCGCACAGUACCGCAUGGUACAGUGUGAAAAACUCCGGUGGUACAGGAUGGACCCGCGUCUGAUUAGCUAGUUGGCAGGGUAACGGCCUACCAAGGCAACGAUCAGUAGCCGACUUGAGAGAGUGAUCGGCCACAUUGGGACUGAGACACGGCCCAAACUCC
RNAcentral lists this ribosomal RNA (330 nucleotides) under uncultured Lachnospiraceae bacterium. Its description in RNAcentral is "bacterial SSU rRNA". It matches the Rfam family "Bacterial small subunit ribosomal RNA", at positions 28 to 339 of the family's 1533-position model. Lineage: Bacteria; Bacillati; Bacillota; Clostridia; Lachnospirales; Lachnospiraceae. The record is from RNAcentral.